RNAcentral lists this ribosomal RNA (672 nucleotides) under Panaeolus foenisecii. RNAcentral describes it as "eukaryotic LSU rRNA". The stretch from base 267 to 420 matches the Rfam family "5.8S ribosomal RNA". Lineage: Eukaryota; Fungi; Basidiomycota; Agaricomycetes; Agaricales. The record is from RNAcentral.
CAUUUAGAGGAAGUAAAAGUCGUAACAAGGUUUCCGUAGGUGAACCUGCGGAAGGAUCAUUAUCGAAUAAACUAGGUGGGUUGUUGCUGUCCCUCUCGGGGGAAUUGUGCACGCCCUACCUUUUUUGUUUUUCCACCUGUGCACACACUGUAGGUCUGGAGAGGAAGGGAGGCAACUCCCUGACGUUUCAGGUCCUAUGUCUUUACACAUACACUAUUAAAAGUAACAGAACGAUUCAAUGGGCUCUAAGCCUAUAAACUAUAUACAACUUUCAGCAACGGAUCUCUUGGCUCUCGCAUCGAUGAAGAACGCAGCGAAAUGCGAUAAGUAAUGUGAAUUGCAGAAUUCAGUGAAUCAUCGAAUCUUUGAACGCACCUUGCGCUCGUUGGUAUUCCGACGAGCAUGCCUGUUUGAGUGUCAUUAAAUUCUCAACCUCAUCGCUUUUGUGAUGAUGGCUUGGAAGUGGAGGUUUUUUGCAGGCUGAAAAGUCUGCUCCUCUCAAAUGAAUUAGUGGGUGCCCCGCGCAAACCUAUCUAUUGGUGUGAUAAUUAUCUACGCCGUGGAUCCUUAGGAUUGCUGUAAAAAGGUGUUUGCCCUGCUUCUAACCGUCUUCGGACAACUUGAACCAUUUGACCUCAAAUCAGGUAGGACUACCCGCUGAACUUAAGCAUA